RNAcentral lists this ribosomal RNA (204 nucleotides) under Hydrogenibacillus schlegelii. RNAcentral describes it as "partial 16S ribosomal RNA". It matches the Rfam family "Bacterial small subunit ribosomal RNA", at positions 1313 to 1533 of the family's 1533-position model. The record is from RNAcentral. Lineage: Bacteria; Bacillati; Bacillota; Bacilli; Thermicanales; Thermicanaceae.
CGCCUGCAUGAAGGCGGAAUCGCUAGUAAUCGCGGAUCAGCAUGCCGCGGUGAAUGCGUUCCCGGGCCUUGUACACACCGCCCGUCACACCAUGGGAGUCGGGGGCGCCCGAAGGCGCGUGCAGCGCUGAAGGCGAACCUGGCGACUGGGGUGAAGUCGUAACAAGGUAUCCGUACCGGAAGGUGCGGAUGGAUCACCUCCUUU